AGCAGUGUGGCUUAGUGGAAAGAGCCUGGGCUUGGGAGUCAGAGGUCUUGGUUCUAAUCCUGGUUCUGCCA
RNAcentral lists this transfer RNA (71 nucleotides) under Ornithorhynchus anatinus (platypus). It matches the Rfam family "tRNA". Rfam says of the family: Transfer RNA (tRNA) molecules are approximately 80 nucleotides in length. Their secondary structure includes four short double-helical elements and three loops (D, anti-codon, and T loops). The record is from Rfam by way of RNAcentral. Lineage: Eukaryota; Metazoa; Chordata; Mammalia; Monotremata; Ornithorhynchidae.